Molecule: ribosomal RNA, 745 nt
Filed under: Pectobacterium odoriferum
Lineage: Bacteria; Pseudomonadati; Pseudomonadota; Gammaproteobacteria; Enterobacterales; Pectobacteriaceae
Description: bacterial LSU rRNA
Rfam family: Bacterial large subunit ribosomal RNA
Source: RNAcentral
UAUACCCGACGAUACCCGAAUGGGGAAACCCAGUGUGUUUCGACACACUAUCAUGACAUGAAUACAUAGUGUCAUGAGGCGAACCGGGGGAACUGAAACAUCUCAGUACCCCGAGGAAAAGAAAUCAACCGAGAUUCCCCCAGUAGCGGCGAGCGAACGGGGAGGAGCCCAGAACCUGAAUCAGUUUGUGUGUUAGUGGAAGCGUCUGGAAAGUCGCACAGUAAAGGGUGAUAGUCCCGUACACAAAAAUGCACAAGCUGUGAGUUCGAUGAGUAGGGCGGGACACGUGACAUCCUGUCUGAAUAUGGGGGGACCAUCCUCCAAGGCUAAAUACUCCUGACUGACCGAUAGUGAACCAGUACCGUGAGGGAAAGGCGAAAAGAACCCCGGCGAGGGGAGUGAAAUAGAACCUGAAACCGUGUACGUACAAGCAGUGGGAGCCUACUUGUUAGGUGACUGCGUACCUUUUGUAUAAUGGGUCAGCGACUUAUAUUCUGUAGCAAGGUUAACCGUAUAGGGGAGCCGCAGGGAAACCGAGUCUUAACUGGGCGUUAAGUUGCAGGGUAUAGACCCGAAACCCGGUGAUCUAGCCAUGGGCAGGUUGAAGGUUGGGUAACACUAACUGGAGGACCGAACCGACUAAUGUUGAAAAAUUAGCGGAUGACUUGUGGCUGGGGGUGAAAGGCCAAUCAAACCGGGAGAUAGCUGGUUCUCCCCGAAAGCUAUUUAGGUAGCGCCUCGUGAA